CUAGCAGCGGUUCAGGAUGUGCGACCAUCAAAUACUUUUAAAGGACAAAUAAUAUUUAUCUACAAUAAAACCAACCUAUAGAUUGUGACAUUUAUAAAUAUUAUUGCAGCAAUUGUACUGUUUUGCAGAGUCAUACAAGCAGUGUGUUAUCGGAAAUGUUUUAAUAAUUUGGAAAAUUGGAUGAUGGUUACUGUGGUAAUCACAAAUUAAUUUCAGCCACUUUGUCCGAAUCAGAUUCCUUUUAAUUCACACACAAAUUCAUCAUUUUUCUUCUUCUUCCACAUGCUAUAAGUGAUUCACAAGGUUUUGGACUGAAA
This is a non-coding RNA of Pelobates cultripes (western spadefoot toad), 317 nucleotides long. Lineage: Eukaryota; Metazoa; Chordata; Amphibia; Anura; Pelobatidae. The record is from the annotation of a GenBank genome assembly.